Non-coding RNA from Ciona savignyi (Pacific transparent sea squirt), 71 nucleotides. The record is from Rfam. Lineage: Eukaryota; Metazoa; Chordata; Ascidiacea; Phlebobranchia; Cionidae.
GACUCCGUGGGCGCAACGGAGGCGCGUCCGACUCCAGAUCGGAAGGUGCGUGUUCAAACAUGUCGGCGUCA